CUGUGAGAAGUGUGUCAUUCCAAAGGAGAACAACUUCAAGCAGCCUGGGGAGAGAUACCGUUCCUUUUCAUCCGACAGGAAAGAGCGAUUUAUUCGACGUUGGGUUGAGGCCAUGUCUGACCCAAGGGUUACCUAUGAAAUCCGCAGUAUUUGGAUCUCAUACUGGUAUCAGGCUGACAAGUCUCUGGGACAGAAGAUUGCUUCUCAUCUCAACAUGAGGCCAACCAUGUGAUGAGCAGAAACAUUGUCUCAAAUAUUCAACCAUACAGUGACA
RNAcentral lists this unclassified non-coding RNA (274 nucleotides) under Hevea brasiliensis (rubber tree). Lineage: Eukaryota; Viridiplantae; Streptophyta; Magnoliopsida; Malpighiales; Euphorbiaceae. The record is from RNAcentral.